UCUCGAAAUCACACGCAUUUUCCCCUCUUUCUGGAAAUCGCUCGCGUUCUCUUCCUCACAGAACCUCUCACUUGCAGUCUCCCACCGUCAAAAUCGCGUUUCUCCCUCUUCCUCCCACAACAACUCACAGAACCCUUCCACUUCCAUUUUCCCCUCUCUUGAAAUCACUCGCAUUUUUUUUCCUCUUCCUCACACAACCUCUCAUUUGCACUCUCCCACUGUCAAAAUCGCGUUUCUCCCUCUUCCUCCCACAACUCAGAACCCUUCCACUUCAACUCUCACACCGGCAUUUCGUUAGUGUGGCUAUCACUCACUGCCGUCGUCGUUCACUAUCGGCGGUGACUCUUCAGUUUUCCAGGGUUUAGGAAUGGCUAUGGGAAUGGUUAAAUGGAAAGCACAUCUAUAGUCAACAUGAACCUGUGCCUAAAAAGGUUCUUGACUUGAUGAAUGUUGAAAAGCUUACAUGGGGGAAUGUGGCCCACCACCUUCAGGCAUUGAUGAUAUUGUUCUAUUCAUAGAGCAUACGAUAAGGCUGCUAUCGUGGAGUAAAUGCUGAUAUAAACUUUAGUUUGGGAGAUUAUGAGGAGGAUUUGAAGCAGAUGAGAAUUUUGACAAAGGAAGAGUUUGUGCUUGUUCUUCAUCGACAAAUCAGUGAAAUAUUGAGGAGAAACGCAACUCAGAUAAGUGCUUUAGCUCUUCACAAAGGUGGUCAAGGAGAACAAAGUAUAAGACCAUUUAUUAGCAAGACGUGGAAAUGCUGAGAAGGACCAUGCUUGUUAGGAGAGAUUUAAGGACAUGGACUUCCGAAGAAGUGUUUUUAAAGUAGA
This is a long non-coding RNA of Vigna umbellata (rice bean), 827 nucleotides long. RefSeq lists it as uncharacterized. NCBI's taxonomy places the organism in Eukaryota, Viridiplantae, Streptophyta, Magnoliopsida, Fabales, Fabaceae. The record is from RefSeq and is a predicted model, not a curated record.